Molecule: ribosomal RNA, 630 nt
Filed under: uncultured bacterium
Lineage: Bacteria
Description: bacterial SSU rRNA
Rfam family: Bacterial small subunit ribosomal RNA
Source: RNAcentral
AGCGCGGGGCAACCUGGCGGCGAGCGGCGAACGGGUGAGUAACAUAUCGGAACGUAUCCAUAAGUGGGGGACAACCUAGCGAAAGUUAGGCUAAUACCGCAUACGCUCGAGAGAGGAAAGUGGGGGAUCGCAAGACUCACGCUUUAGGAGCGGCGAUAUCAGAUUAGCUAGAUGGUGAGGUAAAGGCUUACCAUGGCGACGAUCUGUAGCUGGUCUGAGAGGAUGAUCAGCCACACUGGGACUGAGACACGGCCCAGACUCCUACGGGAGGCAGCAGUGGGGAAUUUUGGACAAUGGGGGCAACCCUGAUCCAGCCAUUCCGCGUGAGUGAAGAAGGCCUUCGGGUUGUAAAGCUCUUUUGUUCGGGACGAAACGGUUAAGGCUAAUAACCUUGACUACUGACGGUACCGGAAGAAUAAGCACCGGCUAACUACGUGCCAGCAGCCGCGGUAAUACGUAGGGUGCGAGCGUUAAUCGGAAUUACUGGGCGUAAAGCGUGCGCAGGCGGUUUUAUAAGCCAGAUGUGAAAGCCCCGGGCUCAACCUGGGAAUGGCAUUUGGGACUGUAAGGCUGGAGUAUGGCAGAGGAGACUAGAAUUCCUGGUGUAGCAGUGAAAUGCGUAGAGAUCCU